GGCGGGCGUGGCCAAGUGGUAAGGCAAAGGAUUGUGACUCCUUUAUUCGCGGGUUCGAACCCCGUCGUUCGCC
Molecule: transfer RNA, 73 nt
Filed under: Mesostigma viride
Lineage: Eukaryota; Viridiplantae; Streptophyta; Mesostigmatophyceae; Mesostigmatales; Mesostigmataceae
Description: tRNA-His
Rfam family: tRNA
About the family: Transfer RNA (tRNA) molecules are approximately 80 nucleotides in length. Their secondary structure includes four short double-helical elements and three loops (D, anti-codon, and T loops).
Source: RNAcentral